CCGGUGCGGUUGAUCGAGGUUGAAAGUGUGCACCAAGGCGCCCCGGUGCGCACCGGUGCGGGUGAUCGAGGACGCUAUAAAGGAGGCAUUGGACCUUCCUUCCUACGUGGUUGAGGGAGUCCGAAAUCGGCGCAAUUUCCGUGUGGGCGUCGAUACCGAAACUGCAUUUCCUUACAGCAAUCGACAACGACAAUAACGAUCGCUUGUAUAAUGGUCGCCUUUUGUGGUUUGUGAAACCACCGUGGCGUUUUGUUCGGUGAAGCACCGUGCAGUGGAGUUUUCUUCGUUUUGUGUGGUGGAACCCGACCAAGCUUUCUUUCGCGUUUUCGUCGUGAACGUAGCUUCUGCAGUGGGAGGUGGUGCUAGUCGUGAAAUGUGGCGUCAGGGAGGGCAAAGAACGCCGAAGAAGGAUGCGUGUUUGCACUGUUGCCGCUGUGGUUUGUGCGUGGGUGACAUUUAUGAGGCACUUGUGUAAGUUCUUGGGAUCAGGUAAGUGACUGCGGUGCGCCGUUUGCAGGUAAGUGCACGUGCCUCUGCUGCAUUGGGAGGCCACGAAUGGCAUUGCAUUAUAGACGACAGGCGCACCUGAGGUCUCCUCUGUAAUUGGAAAUCGUUUUUUUUUUUAUUACUAAGCAGCUCUUUAUUUUUCUCUCCGUCCACAUGUUCGUCUAGUUCACCUUUCCUUCUUUGCUCACCUUGGACGCGAGCAGCAAUUUUGGAAGUUUGCAUGCAUGAUUUUCUGCCGUACACCUCUGACGUGUUGUUCUCACUUAAAUAAUGAGUCUUCAUAAACAUUUCGACAAAUAAAAAUGUAAAAAAACAAACAAACCGUGAAGGUGGCUCAGCUGCCAACUGGCAACUUAUUCGUCUAGCAGACCGCUACUACCGUGCCUAACCUCUCGCUGGCUUGCUACCUACUAAACUCGCCCACUGCGUUGUCCCACGCCACACUGUCUACCUCGCAGGAGACGCUUCUGUGGCUGCAUCGCGAUUGUGAUGCUCACUGCAUGCUUGGCGCUGAAAGCUGACCUGCAUGUUUGUACGGGCAGGUGUUGCUCGUCAUUACAAAGGGGAAAACGCGACGUAUCGCGUUUGACAUAUCAGCCCAUAAUACAUGUCAAUGUUUCUGCCUGCAUAGAUACUUUUCAAAACUACAUUCCGUAACACACGUAAUCCGUGAAGAUAACCUUAGUUUUCUAUGUUGCUUAACCUCAUUAAAGUGCCUGUCAUAGUGGGCAAGGUUCUUGUUUCCCCGGGGGGGCAUAGGAGCCGUAGUAGUAGAGAGUGGGCUCCUGCCAGGCUUCUCGUACGCGUAACUUUUCAAGAGCAGUUUUAAUGAUCGCCUUUUGAGUUAAAUAAACGCCCUUGGGCAAAAAUGGCCUACUGAGCGAAGCGGGAGCUCAGCGUUAUAAUCCCAGGUGCUCACCUGAGGCCUCCGUUUGCAGGCUACAUGUGCCCUCCUGGAGCAGUAUUUUUGAAAAAUUCCAGCUGUUGUCGCGACGAGAAAAGCACCCAGCCACAAAAAAGCGUCAUAAGCACAAACGAAUCAAAGCUUUGCCAUCGAGAAACAGGCUGUUGUGAGUGGCUCUUGUGGGUGCUGAUGGAACACCACGCAAGAAAUUUCACCCAAAAGUAGAGAGAAAAAUGUGGUCAGUUUUAAGGACACUCAUGACAUUGUAAACAUUAGCGCCAUGAAAAUAAGCAAGAUAUGGGCGGAGUAUUGGUGGCGCAUAAGUAAAGAACCAGUUGUGUUGAAUGGGGAUUAGUACAUGGCCGCAGGAUGGUGUAAUCAUGCACUUAUACACAGCAAGAAGUUGAAAUUAAGAACACAUCUAAAAAUAGUAAAGUUGCAUGUGAACUAAAAUAUGUGCAAGAGAGUUGACACCACUGCUGCAUUUUGGAGAGGAAAUCACUAAUAAUAAUAAUAAGAUGAAGAAGACUCAUCAAAUGUAGUUCUGCGAGUGCUUUUCUGAAAGUGAAAAGUUGAGGUUUCUGAACAUUUCUGUCAGACCAUUUGAAGAAUUGUAAGGUUCAGAAACAGCGGCCUUGUGAUUUCGCACUUGGCCACAAUAUAAAUAUAAGUGGUGGCGUACAUACUACUGGUUCUUUUGUUUGGAGGGUCAGUUCUGAAGCUUUCUGGCCACUUUAUGAUCUCAGUAACUGAUAGAGACUACGUGCCAUGACAUGUUGAUAGACUGGACAGACACAUUGUAAUGCUGUAUAAUAAGCAGUGAUGUUUGGCCACGCUCGUGUGUCCUCAUUUGUCUAUUUGCCAAGCUGUGUCUUUUAACUAGACGGUUUAUGGAAGGAAAUGAAUGUGAAAUUGGACUUGAGCAUUGCUGACCCUGGAAACAAUUCCCUGCAAGUGCUCCUGAAACCAUCUUCAAAGUGGGGUAGGUUUAUGGUUGCAUUUGACCGGUCAUUCUAUAGCACGCUGGAUGGGUUGCUAACAUCAUGCAUGGUGGCUGUAUUAUGUGAUGGCUUUAAUUGGGCAUCUGCCUUUGUUGCAGUAAAGCUUGGUUGCUGUCUUACACGACCAUUGGCGUGCUGCCAAAGUGCUCCAACAAGAACAGACGGAAGUGCUAGUUGAGCAUUUAGGAGGCACAUAAAAGCAACAUUUCUUAGAAGUAAUUUGAAUGCUUGUAGAGUGAAGCCUUUAUGGACUUGUUGAGCAGUAACUGCUAAAUGUAUUUGUUGCUAAUGAAAAAAGGAGGCAUGCAAGUUCACCCCACUGUGCAAUCAGUGAAGAGUUUGCUAACAGUGAAACAUGUGGGCUCACCUUAGCUCAAGUAUCAGUGCCUGCAUGCAGGGACUGCAAGGUGGCUCAUAACACCCGAUGCGUGUGCAUGACUACAUUUUGUCUCUUCAUGCUUUUGAUGCUUGCCUCUGAAUUGCCCCUCUUCUUGUUUCUCUUCUCCUUUCAUCUGCUGUACUGGUAUGCACUUUUCACAAUCAUUAGCUGGUCCAGUUUCCUGUAUUAUUCUAGUGACAUCAACCUGGCCCACCUUAAUAACCUGGUUCCUUCUUCUGAUGACACUGAUGGUAGGCUGUACUGAUGUCACACAUGCUGUUUUAGUUCAAUUGUCGCAUGCAGCAAAUUACCAUACUGAUUUUCUUGUAAAAAAGGAGUGCAUUAGAAAUAGCAAAAUAUAGUUACAAUUUAUUUUGAGCUCUCAUUCCUGCUUCAAAAUUAACCAACUGCAGGCAUUGGUGCUUUCGAGCAGAGGCAACGUGUCGGCACAUUCACAGUUCUUUAGAGCUGCCAAGACAGAUGCUGCAGCCACUGGGGUCAGGCAUGUGCGUGCUGACCAAUCAAGUUCAAGUUACCUGGCCCAGGAUCGAAAGAACUCUGGCCCAUAGUGAUGGGACUGACAGCUGGAAGUACGCAUUGCAGCUUGCUAGAGUGCUGUAUAAACCACUGUAGAUGCUCAAGAUCUGUCAAGUACAUGAAGACAGCUCUUCUCAGCGUGCCUACUCAGCUGUGUGCAGUGGUGGCUGUGUUUUAUUCAGAACAGGAGCUAUGGUUUUACUGCUACUGAGUGUCCAAAUUGUGCACAUUUGGGCAAUGCUUUAAGGCAUGCGAGCGUUGCAUUAGUGCGCUGGGUGCAGCAGUUCAAUGAAAACAGUGUCUGGGCUCUCGUGGGCUAAAUGUUAGGCAAAUAAGAGCAUACGACUUUCUUGGAUUAGUAGUUUUCUUGCGUCCCCUCUCAUCUGCACAGAGCUAAAAAUUCUCAUUGCAUGCAGUUUAAUGGCAUUGUUGGGCAGUUCAAUACUUGUAUGUUUUAUCCACAAUAAACCAAAAGUAUUUGUCAUCUGCAGCAAUGGCGAACAGCAAAAUUUCGUUUGUGCUGCUAUGAAACAAUUGUACCAGCUGUCAUCACUGCCAAGGUAAAGAAUGGCGCCUGCUAUGUGCCGUGUUUCAUCAUAACAUUGACAGACAGCACCAUCAUUGCUUCCACUGAGAUAUUUUUUCGUUUUAUGUUGCAACAAAUUCGGCAUGCUUGUGCCACCACUUGAUUGUGUGCAGUCGGCAAGCACAAUGGUGGAUGCACAUGCUUCGCAGGGAAGAAGAUUGUGCAGCAUGUGCGUUACUCACAGCUUCCGCAGUGCUUUUUGAUGAUGAACAUUCUGGCCACCAUGAUAGACUUAACAGCCACUUGCAAGCUAGCAACUACAAAGAAUGCUGACUUGGGCCAGUUGGCGCCACAUGUUGAAAUUAAAAAGAGUAACAACGCAAAGGACAGACGAGAAAAGGGAAAUGGUGACACAUGCGUCAGUGCAUUGUCAGUAUCCCUCCUCUCUAAGGAAAUUGCCGUUCUUUGCAAUGAUUGUGCCCAUUUGGCAAUUUAUUUAAAAUUUUUAUUUUAGAUAUCUGAUGCUUUCACAUGUGCAUCUGUAUACGAACAUGUUGAGUAAAAUGUGCCAGUGUGCUAUAAUGGAGAGCAGUUAUGAUUAUGCCAGUUCAGGUAAAAAAGAAAAAUUUGGCAGGUAGCUGAAAACUUUAAAAUUAAUGCAAAUUAUCGCAAAUUGGCUAUAAGCCUUACAGCUGACUGGGACCAUGCUUUUACUUGUGCCACACUUGUGAUGUUAGAGAAGAGCCCUCAUCCAUGCACCGAGAAUGUGUGCCAGGACUCUUUUAACAGGCUGCCUAAAACGUGCAGCUUGAGGCCAUUCGGAGUCGCGUGCUGCAUUGCCGCUUCUGCAACUACACGGCACUCUAUCACUCGCUGCUGCUGCGUCACGAGCGCAUCCACACAGGCGACCGUCCCUACCAGUGUCCGAGCUGCCUCAAGCGCUUUGUGCAGAAGUCGCACCUGGAGACACACCUGCGCUUGCACUCGGGUGAACGACCCUACCGCUGCAGACAGUGCUGCCGCACUUUUGCUGCCGCCUCGGCACUAGCCAGCCACGUGCUGGUGCACAAUGUUGCUGCCACCACUUCGCAGGAGGAUGUUGGGGAAGUCACGCUGAGCUGUGAACAGUGCCGCCUUGUGUUCGCUUCUCCAGCUGAACUGUCAGCACACGCGUGCCCCCUGCCCAUUGGUCCUGAGCACUAGCCUCGAAAGCGUCUUCAUUAGAUCAAGUUCACUCGUGCUUGCAUGCGACAAGUCGAUGCAGUGGGCACUGCUGCACUUAUUCUGUACUGAGGCGCACCAAACUACUGUGGGAACGUCUCAGAUUACAGAAGGAUGCAUAAGACUUCAUUCACACAGCCAUCAUGCAUCCUUUCACUACCUCAGGCACUGCGGUGGCAGGUAUCAGGCGGCCGUUCCACGCACGGGGCGAGACGUUCCACUGCGACUGCUGCGAGUACACCACGCGCCACAAGUGGAACAUGGUGGUGCACGUGCGCACCCACACGGGCGAGCGGCCCUUUCGGUGUGGGGUGUGCCCCAAGUCGUUCUCGCGCAAGAACGUGCUCGAGGAGCACAUGCACACGCACACGGGGGCCCGUCCCUUCCGCUGCUCCCUCUGCCCUGUGGCGUUUGCACACAAGAACUCGCUCGUGACGCACCUCAAGCGCCACGUGGGCGAACGGCCCUUUGCGUGCCCAGAGUGUGGCCGGUCGUUCACCGGCCGCUUCUCGCUCAACCGGCACCUUCUGUCGCACGCACGCUCGGCACCUCUGCCCUGACUUUUGAAGAGGUGCUACGAUGGAAGGAAGCUCUGCUCUCUUUAGCCCUCGUAGUUGGCCCAGCCAACUUUGGUCCGAGUACCAGGGCAUGAUGCACAUUAUUCGGUAACAGAGCUCUGGGGCGACGGAACACGAGCAUGGGUAACAGACACAAUUAGACCACCCAUUGCAGCUGGGCUUUGUGUUACACCCACAGGAAGGGCAGUGCACGAGGCUUAAAAGGCAAGCAACAGAGGCAUGUGUGUGCAGUUGUACUCAUUGUCAUGCAGUGAAACAAAAAAGCUCAGAGAACAGCAUUACGUUAUGAGUUGUACCAGUGUCAUCUGUUUGAAUGCAGAGCCAUUUUGUUCCAAGCUGUGUGAAAGAUCUUGAUAGGAUCUUGUGUUGUCAAGAAUGCCACUUUUUCCCAUGAGCGGUUGGUUGAACAAAGUCUGGUUGAACGCAUUGCGUUCGUGCUUGUCUUUAGCCAGUGCUUAUUUUUCGUCUCCCAAGUAAUUUUAGUGCUUUAUUCUUCAGUGAUGAUGAUGCAUGACAAAAGAGUUGUGGUUUGAGCUAGUUGACACAGCUUACACACCAGCUAUGUGCACAUUGUUUCUGAGAGCUUCAACAUAUCAAAAUUACAGAAAAACGGAGCCAAGAUGGCACACCAACACAUCGGAAGCACCAAAACAUGGAUCACCUGUGGCAAUUUCAUCUGUGGCAUCUACAGAAUGGCGUAUCAAAGUAUUGGCUGGAGAUGUUCAUGAGGGCUCUGCCUUUCAGAUACUUGUCCUGAAAGUUAUAACACCAAACGUUUAUUUUUCUGCAACCAUUGAGGUUGAAAUUUGGGAUGCCUUAUUCUGUGCAUUUGCCUCCAGCAAAUUAUGCCACGUGGCUCCUUUUGUAUUGUCACCAAAAAAAGGUCACACCUUGCACCUUUAUGUCUUGAAGGAGAAAGAGUGACAGGAUUUGUCAGCAGUGAAACCGGUUGAACAAGACAACUCGGUAUGAAACUUAGCAAGUUGAUGAAGCGUUUUAUUUCUCUUGCCUUAUGCCUUUUGCACUGUAAUACUCAUGUGACUUGGCUAUGAAAUGGCGGAACACCUGUACUUCUAUGAGUGUCCAAAUGCAUCUUAACCGAGGAUGCUCAUUUGAGGUAGCUAGUGCGCCGAUUCUUCCACACCAUUCACCAUAUUCACAGGGAACAAUAUAUUCUAUUUCAUUACAAUAUAUAUUGUGCUUCCUUGGGUUAAUCCAUACUUGCAGACCUUGUGUAUUUUUCAGAUGUAUUUUUUGUGAGCAUGGAAAUGUAAUGAACAAUUGCAUCAGCAUUUCCUUGUACAAAUGCAAAUACACAAUGUGAAUUCUCAAGUCAAGGAGAUUAAGCUCGUCAUUUGUUCUUGUUUAGAACUACUGUCGCUUUGAUUUUUCCUUCUUGCCUCAGCCAUUGAGCCUAUGCAGAAUAGCGGGACGCUGUUGCCAUUCAGCUAUAUUUAUUGUCACUUCUGUUUAUGAUGCGUUCCAUCAUGCAUUCGCAGUGCCUGCAGUAAGUGCUUCUGUGAAACUGAACUUGUCUUCUUACAUGUGCGAUGUGAAAGCCUUGUGAAAUUAAUUUGUUCAGAACUGCUUGCAUAUAAGUUACUAAAUUUUCAGUCUGGCUUUUUGUUUCGUUUUGUUUGUUUGGUUUGGUUUUUUGUUUCAGGCUGGCAUAUUUGUUUUCGUGCAUGACUCUGCAGCUAUGAACGGUGUGUUAGUAUUUUAAUAAAUGCCUGUUCCUCACUUGCAUUCCAUGCAGUUAUGAUUACAUUUGUAAUCGCGCAUUUACCGAGAGACAGACUGCAUAGGUAGGUUGUGAUCACGUCAUUUGCUUUUGUGCUCUCAGGACCAUUUCAUAUCCUGGCAUUAUGAAUAUGGCAAGCAGGCUCUUUCCAAAUAUGUGUUGGAUGGAAGCUCUUAUUGGUGCAAUUGCAUGUGUAUCCUAUACAACUGUCCUGUGAUAACAGAACCUGAAAACUUCUUGCCCUAUCGACACUCUUUCUUUUCCAGUUAAUUUAGGGUAAUUUCAAUCUGUAGAGGCUCUGCCUGGUUUUAGCAUUAAUUACUUUGAUGCGUUAGCACAUAUUGUAUAUAGUGAAGCCUUGUUUAUCAACUUGCAUCUCUGUUCAUAAUAACCUAUCAUCACUAUCAUUCACAUAUUUAUGCCUCAUCUAAUGUAUUUAUUGCUAGUGUUUAUCCAACACCGUGGCCCAUUGUAAAGUAGUUUGCAAUGAUUUUGUUGAUGUAUUGGCAGUCUCCAUAUGUUCCUUUAUGCUGUAAGUUGGCAACCCUUCUGAAGCAGCACGGCCAGUGAGCAGGCCGCAAAUAUUUGCCGUAAAAAGUUAAUAAUUAACAAAGCUGCCUUGACAGCAACUUUUCAUGGAACCUACAAGUUGUAGCACUAGUAUUGGAUGGCAAGUACUAGUGCAUUUAGACGUCUUUAACCAAGGCCUGUUGUUGGGCCUGCAUAGCCAGCAACUCCCCACUAAUCAUGCUCCCAGGAUUAACAAGGUUUCCUGCAUGUCUGUUGUAUGCAAUCUGGAGUGGCAAGCAUGUUGUGAGCCUGAUUUUUUUCUAAAACACUGACACUUUGCUCCAUUCCCGCUUAGCUUUAUCAGCAGUGUCAACUCUUUACAACCAGGCACAUGUAACUGUGGUGACUUAGCCUCGUGGGCUGCCAGCUUCUGUUCUUAACUGUACUCCAUCUUGGUAAUCCCUUUCAGCAUUGCCGAAGCUAUAGCGUAUGUUGAGGCUGUGCUGGUACAUCAUGGUACUGCACUCGGGCCAUUACUGAAACACUGCUUCACAACUUUGACCUUAAUGUGUCACUGGUAAACUGGGGGGAAAGUGGUAUGUUUGAAUCUAGAUAUUGUCACAUUGGUGUAGCGAUAAUGGCGAGCAUGAUCUACGAGUGUGUCAGCUAUUUAUACAUAACUCUGUACAUUGAAGAGUAUGCCGAGCCAGCUCUUGUGCUUCCUUAAUCGGGGAGUACUACUGAGCAUGAAAGCUUUAUAAGUGGUUGUUGCACCCAGUUGUGCUAUGCUUCUCUAUAAAAUAAAUGCCUUUGUAACACA
This is a non-coding RNA of Dermacentor andersoni, 8724 nucleotides long. Lineage: Eukaryota; Metazoa; Arthropoda; Arachnida; Ixodida; Ixodidae. The record is from RefSeq and is a predicted model, not a curated record.